Molecule: long non-coding RNA, 234 nt
Filed under: Ananas comosus (pineapple)
Lineage: Eukaryota; Viridiplantae; Streptophyta; Magnoliopsida; Poales; Bromeliaceae
Description: long non-coding RNA (ACOM_LNC011950)
Source: RNAcentral
GAAACAUACAUAAUUGGCUUGCACGAGGGCAAGCAAUAGCCAAAAAUGAAAGUACUAAACUAAACAUUCAUCCAAGUAAUAUGAUUAACUUUUAACCACAUACAUGCAUUCAACUUAUACAUUUACAUUCUUUUCAUCCUUUCUUCUCUUAAUACAUCAUGUGAUCUCCAAAAUAAACCUUUGCAUUUAAUAUCAUUUAAAAUAUCUUUAAUACAUCUAUAAUCAUCAAAAUAC